This 275-nucleotide unclassified non-coding RNA is filed under the name Tomentella sp. Its description in RNAcentral is "partial contains small subunit ribosomal RNA, internal transcribed spacer 1, and 5.8S ribosomal RNA". The stretch from base 1 to 46 matches the Rfam family "Eukaryotic small subunit ribosomal RNA", at positions 1786 to 1831 of the family's 1831-position model. Lineage: Eukaryota; Fungi; Basidiomycota; Agaricomycetes; Thelephorales; Thelephoraceae. The record is from RNAcentral.
AAGUCGUAACAAGGUUUCCGUAGGUGAACCUGCGGAAGGAUCAUUACCGAAUUGUCAACACGAGUUGUUGCUGGUCCUCAAACGGGGGCAUGUGCACGCUCUGUUCACACAUCCACUCACACCUGUGCACCCUCUGUAGUUCUGUGGCCUGGGGGUCUCUGCCCUCUUGCUGUGGUUCUAUGUCUUUACACACACACCGUACUAAAGUCUCAUGGAAUGCACAUCGCGUUUAACGCAAUACAAUACAACUUUCAGCAACGGAUCUCUUGGCUCUC